UACCAUGCUGAAUAUACCGGUUCACGUUAGAUCACCGAAGUUAAGUAUCAUUGGGCGCGGUCAGUACUUGGGUGGGUGACCACCUGGGAACACUGCGUGCCGUU
Molecule: non-coding RNA, 104 nt
Organism: Caerostris darwini
Lineage: Eukaryota; Metazoa; Arthropoda; Arachnida; Araneae; Araneidae
Source: the annotation of a GenBank genome assembly